GUGUGUGUCUAUGAGCAUGUGUGCACGUGUGUGAGGGCGUGCAUGUGUGCCUGUGAGCGUGUGUGUGCACAUGUGAGGGUGUGCAUGCGUGUGCCUGUGAGCAUGUGUGUGCAUGUGUGUGAGGGUGUGCGUGUGUGCCUGUGUGUGUGUGCAUGUGAGGGUGUGCGUGUGUGUGUGCCUGAGAGCAUGUGUGUGAGGGUGUGCAUGCGUGUGUGCCUGUGAGCGUGUGUGUGCAUGUGUGUGAGGGUGUGCACUGACAUUUCCUGCACAUGCAGACAUCCCCUCAGUGUGGCCUGCCCCAUGCCGGGCAUGGACAUUAGGACUCAGAAGGACUGGGAGUUUCUGCACCAGGGCAUCACUCCUGCUGAUGCCCAUCACUGCAUUUGCUCUGUGUGGGUGUCAGAUGCUGCCCUGUCUCCAGCUUGGCCUCUACUGCUCUAGCUUCCAGUAGGCUCCUAAAUCAUCCAGUGGCUUGGGGAGGGGGAUUCCAGAUGGAACUUGGGUGUGGCUUUAAGAGCCCAGGAUUCAGAGCUUCAGAAAAGGGAUCCCAAGCCAAUGUCCAAAUUCUUGCAGGGGAAGCAAGUCCACUGGCCUCCAGGGUGCAGGCAGCACCUGGGUCCCUUGCUUUGGUGAACAAUGUGUUAUUACACUGCCUCCUUAGCCAGAUGAGACAAUACAAAUUCCUCAAAGCAGCAGUCAAAAGCUAUAAUCUGAUUUUGCAACAUCCAGGAGCAGAUGCUCUUUGGGAGGAAUAAAACACUGAGAUGAUGGGGGAAGGAAUGCAUUGGGUUAGUGUUUGCCUUUUUAUGCUCUUGGCUUCCAAACACUUGAGGUUGAAGCAUGCCACAGAGAGCAGAAGCAGCUGGGUGAAGCCCUGGACAGGCACAUUCCUGAGCUGAGUCGGGUGGAUAUGGGAACAUGCUGGCCCCCUUGCUCACCGGGCGACUGGAGAGCAGAUGGUGUUCCCAGCACAUCUUCACCAGAUCUGUUCCAGAGAGAGGGAUCUUCUAGAACUCAGCCAUCCUCGCACUGCUAAGCACAGUGAUGGGUGAACAGCUUGGUCCUGCCCAGCAUCUCCCGGGGGCCUGGCCCAUGUAUGUCUUUGUGUGCACCGAGUGUAGGCCGUAGUAUCAAUGUGUACAGUUGUACAGCUCAAUGACAGAUCAGCGCUUUCAGAUAGCCCUCUAAUCAAAACCCACAAACACCAGAAUGGCCACAACCCAACUCCUCAGCAGGGGCUCAGCUACAGCCGUUGACGCCCUCUCCAGACCCUGAGCCCUGCCACAUCCUGGGGGCCCAAGAUGACGUCCUCCCCAUACCCUGAGCCCUGCCACAUCCUGGGGGCCCGAGAUGACGUCCUCCCCAGACCCUGAGCCCUGCCACGUCCUGGGGGCCCGAGAUGACGUCCUCCCCAGACCCUGAGCCCUGCCACGUCCUGGGGGCCCGAGAUGACGUACUCCCCAGACCCUGAGCCCUGCCACGUCCUGGGGGCCCGAGAUGACGUCCUCCCCAGACCCUGAGCCCUGCCACGUCCUGGGGGCCCGAGAUGACGUCCUCCCCAGACCCUGAGCCCUGCCACGUCCUGGGGGCCCGAGAUGACGUCCUCCCCAGACCCUGAGCCCUGCCACGUCCUGGGGGCCCGAGAUGACGUCCUCCCCAGACCCUGAGCCCUGCCACGUCCUGGGGGCCUGAGAUGACGUCCUCCCCAGACCCUGAGCCCUGCCACAUCCUGGGGGCCCGAGAUGACAUACUCCCCAGACCCUGAGCCCUGCCACGUCCUGGGGGCUAGAGAUGACAUCCUCCCCAGACCCUGAGCCCUGCCACGUCCUGAGGGCUCGAGAGGCUCUUGCUAGUCAUUGUGCCAUGGAUGCCCCAACAGCACAGGCCGUGCUUGGUGUAAAUCAUUCUUUGGUUAUUACAGAGACCUGGCAUUUACCCUAAAAACUCAUCCCGGUCUUCUCUCCGAUGGCCC
RNAcentral lists this long non-coding RNA (1972 nucleotides) under Homo sapiens (human). Its description in RNAcentral is "HSALNT0235265". The record is from RNAcentral. Lineage: Eukaryota; Metazoa; Chordata; Mammalia; Primates; Hominidae.